Molecule: ribosomal RNA, 531 nt
Filed under: uncultured Verrucomicrobiota bacterium
Lineage: Bacteria; Pseudomonadati; Verrucomicrobiota
Description: bacterial SSU rRNA
Rfam family: Bacterial small subunit ribosomal RNA
Source: RNAcentral
UGGCGCAAGGGUGCGUAACACGUGGGCAACCUGCCCUGGGGACCGGGAUAGCCCGCCGAAAGGCGGAUUAAUACCGAAUAAGGCUACUGUGAGCAUUCACAGGACGCUAAAGGCGGCGCAAGCUGCCGCUCCGGGAUGGGCCCGCGGCCUAUCAGCUAGUUGGUGGGGUAAUGGCUCACCAAGGCGAUGACGGGUAGCUGGUCUGAGAGGACGACCAGCCACACUGGAACUGAGACACGGUCCAGACACCUACGGGUGGCAGCAGUCGAGAAUUUUUCUCAAUGGGGGCAACCCUGAAGGAGCGACGCCGCGUGGAGGAUGAAGGUUUUCGGAUUGUAAACUCCUGUCAUUGGUGAACAAAGCCCGCGGUUAACUGCCGUUGGGUUUGCUAGUAGCCGAAGAGGAAGGGACGGCUAACUCUGUGCCAGCAGCUGCGGUAAUACAGAGGUCCCGAGCGUUGUUCGGAUUCAUUGGGCGUAAAGGGUGCGUAGGCGGCGAGGCCAGUCUGAUGUGAAAUCCCGGGGCUCAACC